This 742-nucleotide ribosomal RNA is filed under the name uncultured bacterium. Its description in RNAcentral is "bacterial SSU rRNA". It matches the Rfam family "Bacterial small subunit ribosomal RNA", at positions 8 to 796 of the family's 1533-position model. The record is from RNAcentral.
AGAGUUUGAUCCUGGCUCAGAGCGAACGCUGGCGGCAGGCCUAACACAUGCAAGUCGAGCGCCGUAGCAAUACGGAGCGGCAGACGGGAGAGUAACACGUGGGAACGUGCCCUUCAGUUCGGAACAACCCAGGGAAACUUGGGCUAAUACCGGAUACGUCCGUAAGGAGAAAGAUUUAUCGCUGAAGGAUCGGCCCGCGUCUGAUUAGCUAGUUGGUGAGGUAACGGCUCACCAAGGCGACGAUCGGUAGCUGGUCUGAGAGGAUGAUCAGCCUCACUGGGACUGAGACACGGCCCAGACUCCUACGGGAGGCAGCAGUGGGGAAUAUUGGACAAUGGGCGCAAGCCUGAUCCAGCCAUGCCGCGUGGAUGAUGAAGGCCCUAGGGUUGUAAAGUCCUUUCGGCGGGGAAGAUAAUGACGGUACCCGCAGAAGAAGCCCCGGCUAACUUCGUGCCAGCAGCCGCGGUAAUACGAAGGGGGCUAGCGUUGCUCGGAAUCACUGGGCGUAAAGCGCACGUAGGCGGCUUUUUAAGUCAGGGGUGAAAUCCUGGAGCUCAACUCCAGAACUGCCUUUGAUACUGAGAAGCUUGAGUCCGGGAGAGGUGAGUGGAACUGCGAGUGUAGAGGUGAAAUUCGUAGAUAUUCGCAAGAACACCAGUGGCGAAGGCGGCUCACUGGCCCGGUACUGACGCUGAGAUGCGAAAGCGUGGGGAGCAAACAGGAUUAGAUACCCUAGUAGUCC